GCGGAGCUUCACUUUCAAAAGCACCGCUGGGAGCUCUGAGGUCUCACUCCUGCCUCAGCGCCUCCCCGACCGGCCCCUCUUCCGGACUUGCUGAGGACGGAUCAGAGACGGGGGGCGCUCUCCGCCCAAGCCGGGCAGGGUGGCCCCCGCCGCCUCCCACCGAAGGAAACUGCGUCAAAGAAACCUAUGCCGGGUUUUCCGAAACACACACAGGCUGCCUGAGAUUCCAUGAAGGGAAAGAUGCCAACACUUGGGAAACGGAGUCUUCCAUCUCCUGCCAAGAACCAUCCCACUUUGGAACAGGAAGACCUGCCAACUCCUAGGCGGGAAAUAGUCUGCAGAUAAGUCCAACAGAAUGGAGAGAUGAUUUGCAAAGUGAUGGAAAGAUCCUAUUUUCCUGUUUACAGGAAAGUUUCUUCAAGUCAGGGGCCUGGAGUUUAAAGACUUAGAUUUGUCCUCUGAAGCCUUUGUAAACUGGACAUCAAGCAGAGUUGUGGGACUAGGGGGAAUCAUCCCCAAACCCUCCUGCUGCAGCACCUUCCCCCAUCAAUCACCAAGUCCUGUCAGUUCUACCUAAAUAUAGGGUCCCUCGAAUACCCAUCUCCCUGCACCCCACCGCCUUCACACCAGUCUGGACCACUGUCAUCUCCUGCUGGAAUUACUAAAUGGCCUCCUAAACCAUCUCUUCCUGUUUUCCUCAUGCAGUCAGAGUAGCCUUCCUAAAGUGCAGAGCUGAACUAGUGUCUCCCCUGCUUCAUUAAACCCUCCCAGGGCUCCCUGUUGCUUUGAAAAGGACUGCUUCCUGCUUCCCCACCUUCUGUUAGCAAACAUCUACCUGUCCUCUAAGUGUCAGCUUAAAUGUCACUUCCUCCUGGAAAUCUUGCCUGAUCCCUUGUACCUGCCCUCUUGUCGGCUAUGCCACAGCAUCCACUGCACUUAUCACACUUUUCCAGGUCACUUGUCUAAUUGCUUGCCUUUGCUACAAGAACAAUGUUUUAUAAACAUGUUUGAUAGCAGCUCAUAAUAAGAAAUACAUUUUAUAUCAAGAACCAGGCUACCCAUACAUAUAAAAAUAUAUGUAACUGACACUACGUGGCUGAACCUUGAAAACAUUAUGCUAAGUGAAAUAAACCAGACACAAAAGGACAAGUAUUAUGUGAUACCAUGUACAUGAAAUAUCUAGAAUAAGCAAAUUCAUAGAGACAGAAAGUAGCUUAGAGGUUACCAGUGGCCAAGUAGAGGUGGAAAGAAGAGUAAUUGCUUAAUGGAUACAGAGUUUCUAUUUGGGGUAAUGAAAAAGUUCUUGUAAUGGAUGGUGAUGAUGGUUAAAAAAAUGUUGUAAAUAUAAUGCCACUGAGUUGUACACUUAAAAAUGGUGAAAAUGCCAAUUUUUUACGACAUAUAUAUAACCACAAUAAAAUUUAAAAUAUAUAUAUGUAACAAUAAAAGUUACAGCAAACUCUACUUUUAUAUGAUUCUAUUCUAGUUCAUUUUAAACAAAAUCUCAUCAUGCUCCAUUACAUUGACUUCACAACCCUUUAAUGGGUCAGGAUCCUAGUGUGAAAACAUGUUCUACUUUCCAUGAAGGGAAGGGCCUCUUCUGUCUUGUAGGAGCUCAACAGAUAUUUGUUGCUGGAAUAAUAAUAAUAAUAAUAACAUCUAACUCAUUUAAUCCUCAAAGCCCAUGAGGAGGAAACUAUUAUUAUCCCUAUUUACAUAUGAGGAACCUGAGGCACAAGGAGGUUAACUAACUUGCCCAAUGUUAAAAGGCUGGUGUGAUGAUCAGUUUCAUGUGUCAACCUGGCUACUUUAUGGUGUCCAUUUGUUUGGUCAAGCACUGAGUUGCUUGUUAACAUGAGGGUAUUUUGUAGAUGCAUUUGGCAUCUGUAAUCAGUUGAUUGCAUCUACAAACAACAAAGGAAACUGUCUGCAGCAUUGUGGGUAGUCUCCUCAUCCAAUCAACUGGAGGUCUUAAAAGCCUGAACUGAGGAUUUGGGAAGUCAAAAAGAAGAAUUUCUGCCUCUACUUCAGCCAGCCAGCUUCCCCUGGAGAAUUCAACUUCACCUUUAUCACUUUCCAGCUUGAGGCCAGCCCACAAAGUUAGGACUUGCCAGACUUCAGAAUCACGUUUCUUCGAGAUCCCAGCUUGCAGCCUGCCCUACAGAAUUCAGAUUUGCCAGCCCCCACAGUUGUGUGAGCCAAUUCCAUAAUAAAUGUUUUAAUUUUUAUAGGGGAUUGAGUUGUGUACCCCAGUUUGCACAUGUUCUUGGUCUUGGUCUGCAUUCUGCUGGGUGUAGACCCACUGUAAAUAUCUCUUCAAGAUGUUACUUCAGUUAAACUGUGGCCCAAUUGAAUCAGGUUGGCCCUUAAUCUGGAUUACCAGAGUCCUUUAUAAGCAGAGUGAAAGUCAGAUGGAAAGAGAAGCCACAAGGACAUAUAUCUCUGGUCAGUUCUGUUUCUCUGGAGAACACUGAUUAACACAGCUGGUAAAAUAGGUGAUUGAGCAAGGAUUUGAACUCAGGUAGUUGACUUCAGAAUCCUUGCUCAUAGUCACUCAGCUAAAAGGUCUAUAUCACUUGGUUCCAGUGCAUUUUGAUAAAUUCACUAAGCAAAACUGUCAGAAAAGGUCUCCUUGCAGCAACCUCAAGCCGGAUUUUAGUCCCCUGCCCUGCAGAGGCUCCUUGGGCAGUAUUUAUGUCUAUAUGGAGAGAAAGGCAGCUGGCAAGAACAGCUGUUCUUUGCUCACAUGUGCUCAGCCUCCUCAACCAUCAACAAGUUCAGCAAUAUACAGCAAGUUGGGAGAUUUAAUUUUGUAAAGGAAGGGUAGCCUAGAUACCUCAGAAAAGGAAAUUUCUCAUUGUUAUGAACUACAUGCCUAAGUCCUCCCCCCACCCCCGUAAAAUCCAUUAAGGUUGGAGUAUUCAUUUUUUUAUGUUAUAUUUUUAAUAAUUGUCUAGAAUAAUACUCAAAGGGUAGGGAUAAAAAAGACUAAAAUUAGUGGACCUCAGGAGUCAGUGCUAUUUAUGGGAUUUUAAUCUGAAAAGGCAACAUUGGAGAAAGGACAUGAUUUAAAUCCUAAGGAGUGUGAAUAGGUAGGAAAUGAUUUAUUUGCAAAAUUCCCAAUCUAAUUCUGAAGUGAUUAGCCCUAAUGCUGAACCUUCUCUAAGUUGUGGCAUUUAGAGUCAUAAAGAAAUGGCUGGCAAAGGGUUUCAUCUUUAUUACAUGAAUUACAUGCAAGUCACAUGCAGUACACAGAUGCUCUCCUAUUUCACAUCUGAAUGUAACUUCAUGGGGAUAUUUAGGUGCACUGUGGGGUGAAGUGUCCUGGAUAUAGAACAUCUGGGCUUCAUUUCCAGCCCCAUCUGUAACCAACUUUUGUAACAUCAGUUUCCUCAUGCAGGGGACUGGGCGGCAUGAGCAAGGUAUGUUCGUAAAUAGUAAGAAUUAAUUGAGUGAACUGAAAGGAUUUUUCUAGCCUGAAGAACCUAUGGAUUUCAUCCUAGGAACUAUGGAAAAUUGUAUAAAGGUGUCUCUGGCUCUUUUCAUCGCCUUCCUUGUUGGAAGAAACAAAGUGGAUUCCUCCAUUAAUUCAAAGACAAGGUCAAUGUGCUACCAUUAGCAACACCCAUUACCAAAAAUUUUCUGUCACCUCAAACAGAAAUUCUGUACCAAUUAAGUACAACAUUGUGGACAUAAUUAACAACCCUGAAUUAUAUAUUUGAAUGUGGUAAAAAGGGGGAGAUUUUAGGUUGUAUAUAAGUUACUUGAAUAAAAAUUUUAAAAAAAACAACAAAUAACCUUGGACUGAACAAACAGUAAACACUAAUGUAAAUUAAGGCUAUAGUUAAUAGUACAAUUAUAAUAAUAGCCUUUAAUCAGUUACAACAAUUGUACCACACUAAUGCAAGAUGUUAAUAAUUGGGGAAGUAUAUGGGAAUGGUGUAAUUUCUACAUAAUUUUUCUGUAGACCUACAAUUCUCUAAUUAAAAAAUAUAUAUAUAUAUAUUAUAUAUAUAUAUUAUAUAUUAUAUAUAUAUAUAUUAAAGAAAAAAAAACACAACCAAAUUGAUCUC
This is a long non-coding RNA of Choloepus didactylus (southern two-toed sloth), 4073 nucleotides long. RefSeq lists it as uncharacterized. The transcript has 3 exons. The record is from RefSeq and is a predicted model, not a curated record. NCBI's taxonomy places the organism in Eukaryota, Metazoa, Chordata, Mammalia, Pilosa, Megalonychidae.